GAAGUUCAACGGCGUGAGCAGAUAAGAAACAGAACUGAAAACAAGAAGAUCAACCCUGCUCGUUGCUUUAAAGAGGUACAUAAUCCUUUUUACUUCGGUCAUGUAAAGGCUACACGCCUGAGCUCGUACAUAUGAAAUAAUGGAAAGAAAGUUGAAGAUAUUAAGUCAGCUAUUAAAAACCGAGCUCAGAGUGAAGACCUAAUGAGGUUGAAAUCUAUAAAAAAGUACAGCUUGAAGAUCUUAGCCUUAAGGCAAAUCCAGCUCGGCGAAAAUUUACAGAUAAGAAUGCCCUU
Molecule: long non-coding RNA, 293 nt
Filed under: Manihot esculenta (cassava)
Lineage: Eukaryota; Viridiplantae; Streptophyta; Magnoliopsida; Malpighiales; Euphorbiaceae
Description: long non-coding RNA (MESC_LNC009468)
Source: RNAcentral